UGGAAUGCUUUAUGCGUCAAAUGGAUUCGUCUGCCCAAGGAUGGGUCUGCGGCCUAUCAGGUAGUAGUGGGUGUAAUGUACCUACUAGCCGACGACGGGUACGGGUUGUGAGAGCAAGAGCCCGGAGAUGGAUUCUGAGACAUGAAUCCAGGCCCUACGGGGCGCAGCAGGCGCGAAAACUUUACAAUGCGGGAAACCGUGAUAAGGGGACACCGAGUGCCAGCAUCAUAUGCUGGCUGUCCGGGUGUGUAAAAUACACCUGUUAGCAAGGGCCGGGCAAGACCGGUGCCAGCCGCCGCGGUAACACCGGCGGCCCGAGUGGUGAUCGUGAUUAUUGGGUCUAAAGGGUCCGUAGCCGGUUUGGUCAGUCCUCCGGGAAAUCUGACGGCUUAACCGUUAGGCUUUCGGAGGAUACUGCCAGGCUUGGAACCGGGAGAGGUAAGAGGUACUACAGGGGUAGGAGUGAAAUCUUGUAAUCCCUGUGGGACCACCUGUGGCGAAGGCGUCUUACCAGAACGGGUUCGACGGUGAGGGACGAAAGCUGGGGGCACGAACCGGAUUAGAUACCCGGGUAGUCCCAGCCGUAAACGAUGCUCGCUAGGUGUCAGGCAUGGCGCGACCGUGUCUGGUGCCGCAGGGAAGCCGUGAAGCGAGCCACCUGGGAAGUACGGCCGCAAGGCUGAAACUUAAAGGAAUUGGCGGGGGAGCA
RNAcentral lists this ribosomal RNA (709 nucleotides) under uncultured archaeon. RNAcentral describes it as "bacterial SSU rRNA". It matches the Rfam family "Archaeal small subunit ribosomal RNA", at positions 171 to 878 of the family's 1478-position model. The record is from RNAcentral.